GAAGAGGUUGAAGAAAGGUGAUAAGAUUUUCAUGGUGAGCCUUGGAGCUGGAUUCAUGUGCAACAACUGUGUGUGGGAAGUAAUGAAGGAUGGUUUGGAUGAUACUAGGGUUUGGGAAGAUUGCAUUGAUGAGUACCCUAGAAAAAACCUGGUCAAUCCUUUCACUGAGAAGUAUAGUUGGAUUAAUGAUGAGAUCUUGAACUUUGUCAGGCUUGACUAGGGAAGGUUUUAUUAACAAUUUACUUUUUGAAUUAUACCCUUUUUUUAAAUAUUAUUUUGUUUUAAAUUAUCUCAAAAAUUACUAAAGAGGGUGAUGUCACUGAAUCAGAAAAAUGUUUGAAUGUCAAAAUUAUGAUAGCAAUUUGUAGGUUGUGCCCAUGUGAUAAUUUAAGUGGGUGUAUGUAUAGUUGUGUGACUUUAAAAGCUUAAUAGUGAUAUUAAGCCACAGUAAACCAUGUGAGACCAUAGAAGCUAGUGAGUUGCAAUUGGUUGUCCAUGGCAAAUAUGAAAGACAUCUCUUGUGCUUAUAAAUUCAUGUUAAGUUUUGACACUUUUUGUACUUUUUUUUUUUGGUGGAUAAAGGAUUGAUUUUUAUUAUUAAAUAGAUUAAUUUAAUUCAUAUAUUAUUAAAAAGAAUUAAAUAAGAUUAAAUUGUAGUAAAGUUAACAUUUGCUGUUUAAAAAAUAACAUAAUUAUUAUUUUUUUGUAAUUUAACUACAAACAAAGAUUUUAUUUGCAAUAGGGUUGAGCAAGAAAAUCUGAGAUACAAUAAAAACAAAAACUCAAAUCGAGGUGUUUAAACAAUUAAUGAAAAAUAAAUUAAAAAUUUGCGAUUAAAUAAACCAAACCAAAUUCUAUUUAAUUUAUAAUUAAAUUAUUUUUUAUGAUGCAAAAAAUAUUUUAUAUUUAAAAUAACGAAAAUAAUUUAAAUUUUCUAUAUAAAAGUUACUGAUUUUUUUUAUUUGCUUCAAAAAUUAUUAUUUUUUAGAAAUACUCAUAAAAAGGACUUUGGAAUUUUAUCAAUUAAUGUUUUAAUAUCAUAAAACAAAACUCAUUUUUUUUAAAAAUAAGUCAAAAAACCCAAAACUCAAAAAUAGCAUGAAAAACUAAGAAUGGAACCGAACUAUAAUGGAUGAUUCAAAAAAUCCGAAAUACUCAAUUGAACCGAGCCGAACUUACUCCGAAUUUACUGAACCAUUAAAAAAAUUUAAAAUACCAACUCUCUUAAAAAGUAAAUUAUAUAUUUUUUAAAACAAUAAAUGUUAACUCCUUUAAAAUUUGACCUCAUUUUGAUUCUUUUUAAUAGUAGAAUGACUAAAUUGACCCAUUUUAAUAGUAGAGGAAUUAAUUUUAUCAAAACCCUAUAAUAGAGGGACUUGUUAAAUACAUGACUAAUAUAUUAAAAAAACCCUUAAACUAUUUUUGUACUUAAUUAAGCUCCUAUCCUAUUAUUUUUAUCCAUAAAAGUCAUUGAUUUUAAUAUUAAAGUACAAUUAUUUUGACUUUUUAAACUAAUUUGCAUUUUAUGCUGAUAUGAUGUGAAUAUGACGAGAAUAAUUUAUUAAAUAAAAAUAAAAUAGUAGUUUAUUUUUUAGUUUUCUUCAUGUUUAUUUUACGACCCAUGUUCAGGAUUUGUGACUGCUCUUCCCAACAAUUUCGUCUCCAAGGUUUGAACCUAUAUCUCCUCUUGGAAGUACAAUGUACCUUACCAUUACACCUAAUACUUAUCAAUAUAAAAUAAUAAUUUUGAAAGUAAAAUAAAAUGUUAUUUUAAAUUUUCUUGAAAAUACUUAAAUAUAGAUAUAACACAUUUAAUCACUUUUUUCUAAAACUUACACCCUUUUUUAAAUUUUGCAAAAACAUAUUUUUCAUAAGGUCAUUUUCAAAUGUUUUGUAGAGUAAUUGCAUCAAUUAUAUAAUUUUUUUUUAAAAAAAUUAAAAGUAAUAUUUUAUAUUUUUUUUGUAGGGGACCUCACAGUAACAGAAGUAGAUUUCUUUCUUAGGGUGAGUUUGGAUGGACGGUGCGUUUACCUGCGGUUAGUGUAAAAACAGCGGUGGCGGUAAGUUAGAGACUAUAGCGAUACUGUAGCGUGUGACAAAAAGUAAGCUAAACACACCACACAAUACCUAAUCGCCCAUCCAAACCCACCCUUAGGUAUUAAAUCAUGGUGUCAUAUCUCAAAUUUCUAAUUGAUAAUAUUGUAAAAUUAUAGUAAAAUUGAGUUUCUGACCUAGUGAUUAAGAGUCAGUGAAAUUAUCUUUGAGAUUUGAGGUUGAUUCUCUUCACUUACAAAUUCUUUUUCUUUUAAAGCCUGUGUCGUCCACCCCUAGCUAGCAAAUUGUUAGAUUUUAGUCUGACUCAAACACUUUCAUUUUUUUUCUCUUCUUUUCCCCUGUUGUCAUCCCCUUCCAUUCUAUUUCCUCUCAAUUUUCCUUUCUUUUCUCCCUUUUUCUUCCCUUUUUUUCUCUUCACCCGUGUGCCACCCCUUUGUGUUCUCUUCUUCUUUUUCUUUUCUUCUUGCCGAAUUACUAAUUACUUUGGCUGAAUUCCUAAAGCAACUGUGCUAAGUUUUUUGAAAAUUUGAUCAAAAUAGCGAUUUUUAGACCAAACGUUUUUAGUUGAUCAUUCUGGUGGCUAAUGUAACCUUCAAGAUUUGGCUAUAAUAUCUAGGCUGGAUUUGGGAGGUUAUACCUGAAGUUAACAUUGUUGAAAGGAUUUUACUUAAAUAUCACCUUUGAUCCAAAUAAAACUAAACUAAUAUCGUAAAACGAAUAAAAACACUUAUAAUUUAAAAAUAAUAAUGAUAACACUUUCAAAUAAUGAACCGAUAAGAAAAAUUGGUUGGGAUUUGUCAACGUUGAUAGUACUGCAAACACCGUUUACAUGCGUUUAAAAUCAAAGAAUGACAAAAUCAAUUAAUUUAUUAAAUUGAUAGAACCCAUCUCUAAGCUUGCGGUUCUUUUAUUGCUCAUGAGUUUGAUGAGUUUUUUUUUUUAGUCUUAUAUUUUAGUCAAUUUCUCUUAAAUAUUCAAUAGACGUUUAAACUUAGAUGAAUCAACAAUGUCUUUACUCUCUUACCACCAAUUUUUUUUAAUUAUAUUGAGUUUUUUUUAUCAUUUAUACCAAUUGAAAUUGUCGGAAAUUUAUAGGGAUAAACUAUAGUCAAGUCACUAAAUUAUUAAUAAGUUUAUGUUUUUGUUAUUCAACUUUAAAACGUUACAUAACGGUACUUGAACUUUUGAAAGUUUUCAUUGAAAUUAUUGAACUAUUCAAAAGUUUUUGUUUAAGUCACGAGGCUUCUAAGGGUUUUGUUUUAAGAGAGAGCUCCAAAUGACGAUUUGAUGAUCGGUAUGGUGAAUCAAUACCCAUUGACAAGUAGAAGAACAUGCCCUAGAUCCAAGUCGAUCUAUUAAUUAGUGUCGGAGAUCGGAGAAGAAAACUGUUUGGAUUUUGAUUUAUAGAUUUGUAAUGUUCAAAGUUGUUUUAUGAAAAAGAAAACUAAAUUGUAGAAGAUAAGAGGAAGAAGAGCUUCUGAUUGUUGCAGGCAGCGCGAACAUAGAAGGAACAACUCAGUGACUUAAAUGAAAGUUGCAAAUAGUUAACGGACCAUUUUAUAAUUUUUUAAAGUUGAGUGAUCGAAACAUAAACUUACUAAUACUUUAGUGACCUUAAAUGUAGUUUAUCCAAUUUAUAAUCGAAUUAGAUCUUUCUCUAUUAUCAACUAAAUCAAUUCAUAUUGAUGAAUCAAUAUUACAGAUUUGGGAUAUUAGAAAACAUGACACAAUGAUCCGAAACGGACUAAGAAGUACCUUUGAUAUAUGUAAACCCUAUAUGCCCAUAUUUAUUUUAUCUAAAUAAAAUUAUUGUUUUUAAAAAAAAUUAUUAUUAAUAACAAUCAUGGACAAUAAUAAUACAAAAACAUGAGAUAUAGUAAAAACAAAUAAAUAAAUCAUUAUAAAAAUACAAAAAUAUCAUGCCUUCAGAAUAAUCUAAAACAAAAAGAACAAAUUGAUAGCAAUUGCAAUACUCAAAUAAUUCAGAAAUAAACUAGAAAUGUAUCAACUUGAUCAAACCGCUGAAAUUUUCAUCCUAAUCUUGUCAUCAUCAAAUCAACAUGAUGAUUAACACCGCUCAACUAAGAAAAUUUUGUCAAAAGCCUCAAGACAUCCACUGCAUUUGUGAUGCACAAAAGACAAGUCACAGAUUGUCUAUCAUCAUUAUCAUCUCGAAUCUAUCAUCGUCACUAUAAUCUAUUAUGAUAAAAACCCUUCGAGAACGAUUCCUAAUAGAUUUGACCGCACCCUUAUAUUAGCAAAUCUCAUAUAUACACCAAAAUAUGAUUAAAAAUUAAAAGUAAAAAAUAAAAUAUCUACUUUCAAGGAAAACAAAUUAGAUAAAACAAAAACCACAAAAUUAACGUGUAUUGAAAUUAAAAACAAAACAAAAUUAAAAAAAGAAUGUUGAAGAACCGCUACUAGCUCGAAAGCUAACGUUGAAGAAAUAAAAAAAUAUUUUAUUUUUUCUUUAUGCAUAAUUAUUUAUUAAAUAAAAUUAUUAUUUAACUACAAUUUAAAAAACUUGUGAUGCAUACUACAAAGAAAUUUAUGGUGUAAAUUUUUUUUUAACACCUUUUAUGGAGACUGUCCUGUAAGGAUUUCCCAAUUAUAAAUCAUAUGCUAUUUGACAUCAAAUAUGGGAUUGAAAAAUAUAACAUAAGUAUCAUAAUUAGCAUGAUAAAUUAUUAUGGAUGGAUAUAAAGCUUUUUGCACUGCAAAAUUUCUAUUUCCAACCUCUAAAAAUUAGAACAUAUGAAGACAUGUUUAUACUAUUCCUUUUAUGAAGAUUUUCAUUAAAUUAUUUAUAUAUAUAUAUAUAUAACAUUAUGAAUUUUGUUUUAAAGGUUUCAUUAUUUGAUAUUUUUUAAUUAAAUUAAUAUCUUAUUUAUUCGUGACAUGAAAUUAAUAAAAUAAAUAAAUAAUAAUAUAAAUAUAAUAGCAUUCCCAAUUAAUUGAUGUUCAACAAUAUUUCUUAAUAAGAUGUUAACAUUUUUAAUGAUGUUCAUAAAACUAUACACUUUUAAUGCAUAUAUAAAUAUUUUUUUAUAUUUUUUUAACAUUAAUCUCAUUACAUGUUUUUAUCAUAUAUGCUCUUUUUGAUACAAUGUUUAGAACUACUCAUAGCCCCUCCCUAACUGUUAAAUAGGAUGAUAAUAUGUUUCAGCACAUUCGAACCCACGUCCUUCACUGACAAUAAUAUCAAUACCAAUUGAGCUAAAACUUAAUCAACAUUUUUACCUCAACAUAAUUCAAUUCUAGCUUGGCCUGAAAUUAAAUAUUAAUUUAUCUAUCUCGAAUUCGACUUGAAAAAUUAAAGUUAUACUCAAAUCCGACCCGACGUAAUAUGCUACAAUUUUUUUUUUUACAUUUUAUCAUAGUAGAAUAAUAAUUUUAUUAUUUUUAAUAAUACUAUUAAUUAUUUUUAAGUACAAUUAUAUUAGGGCAAAUAUUAAUAUAAAUUUUAUUAUAUAUUUUAAAUUAACAUUAUAUAUAUAAAAGAGGACUUGAUUAAUUAAAAAAUUGGUACUUGAAGCGGGCAGGUUUUCCCUAAACCGGACUUGAUUAAUUAAAAAAUUAAAUCCGUCUCCAAACCCGAUUUCAAAAAUAAAAAUUCCCAACCCCUAUAGGAUCGGGUCAGUUUGCAACCUGUCGGGUACAGGUUUUUCCAUCCGAAUAACCCAAUUGAAGACUAUAAAUAGACAGAUCUUGAUCUCAUAUACAAACAUCCCAUCACCAUCGCAUUCUCUAAGCUUUUCAAUGGAGUUUUUAAUGAAAAUAUGUCUCCUAUUCCUUUGUAGCUUCAUUUCCUACUUUGUUAACAUGUUUUUUCAGAAGAGAAAUCAACAUUGCUAUAUGUUGGGUUACGAGUGUUUCAAGGCUGCCGGUGAUAGAAAGCUCGAUACUGAUGCUUGUGUGAGAGUUGUGAUGAGGAACAAGAAGCUUGGUCUGGACCAAUACAGGUUUCUUUUAAAAACCAUUGUUAGUUCUGGUCUUGGUGAAGAAACUUAUGGUCCAAGGAAUGUUGUUGAUGGUAGAGAAGAAUUUCCUUCGGAAAACGAUGCACAUGCCGAGAUGGAUGAGAUCAUGUUCAGCACUCUCGAUAAUCUAUUCGAGAAAACGGGAGUUUACCCGUCAGAAAUCGACAUACUCGUCAUCAAUAUCUCGUUGUUUUCACCUGCACCGUCGUUAACAUCCCGGAUUAUAAACAGGUACAAGAUGGUUGCAAUCGAUCUGGUGAAGCAGUUGUUCAAGACAUACAAGAACCAGUUCGCCAUCGUUGUGAGCACCGAAUCAAUCGCUAGGCAUUGGUACUGCGGCAAAGAGAAAUCGAUGAUGUUAUCGAAUUGCCUGUUCCGUAACGGAGGGUGGUCGAUCCUCUUAACAAACAAAAGGGGUUUGAAGGAUCGAUGCUUGUUGAAGUUAAAGUGUACCGUAAGACCCAAUAUAGGAUACGAUGACGAAGCAUUUGGAUGUUGCAUACAGGUUGAAGAUCCAUAAGGCUACCAAGGUUUCCGCCUUACUAAAAGCAUAAUAAAAGCUGUUACUAAAGCUUUUACAGAGAAUUCCAAGCUCCUAUUGCCAAAAAUAUUACCAGUUUCGGAACUGCUUCGAUAUGCAAUAUCAACUCUCGGGAAAAAAUCAACCGAAGUAAGUUUCGAUUUAAAUCUCAAGUCUGAGGUUGAUUAUUUUUGUUUCCAUCCAGGUGGAAAGGCAUUGAUUGAUAGACUUGGGAAGAGUUUGGGACUUAGUGAAUAUGACUUAGAGCCAACUAGAAUGACACUAUACAGAUUUGGGAACACAUCAGCAAGUGGUUUAUGGUAUAUUUUGAGUUACAUGGAAGCUAAGAAGAGGUUGAAGAAAGGUGAUAAGAUUCUCGUGGUGGGCCUUGGAGCUGGGUUCAUGUGCAACAACUGCGUGUAGGAAGUAAUGAAGGAUGGUUUGGAGGAUACUAGGGUUUGGGAAGAUUGCUUGAUGAGUACCCUAGAAAAGACCUGGUCAAAUAUCCCUUCACUGAGAAGUAUAGUUGGACCAAUGAUGAGUGCUUGAACUUUGUCAGGAUUGACAACAGAAUGUAUUAUUAACAAUUUACUUUUUGAAUUAUACCCUUUCUUUUUAAUUUAUUUUGUUUUAAAUUAUCUCAAAAAGUGCUAAAGUGGGUGAUGCCACUGAAUCAGAAAAAUGUUUUGAAGUGUGAAAAUUAUUGGAACGAUUUGUGGGUUUUGGCCAUAGUAAACCAUGUGAGACCAUUGAAGCUAGUGAUCAGUUGCAAUUGUUUAACUCUUCCUUUCAAUUUCUAACUCUUUUACUCGUUUUCAUUUAGAAAAAUUAUUUGAUAUAGCCAUAAAAAUUGGCAUUAUAUCCAUUUAAUGUAUAAUAAAAAUGUAAAAAAAAAUAUAUAUAAACAAAAUUAAUAGAAAGUAAGUAAAAAAACAUGUGCAGUUAAAAUAUUUUAUUGAAAAUGUAUUAAAUAUUAACACUUUUGGUUACUAAUUUUUUUAUCGGUGAAAGAAUUUAUCAAGUCCUUCUAUUUUAAGGAUUAGAUUAAAUUAAUCUCUCUAUUAUUAAAUAGGAAAAAGGAUUGUAUGAAAUAGUGACGCCACGUCAUCUCUAUAUUUUUUUAAUAGUUUUAUGUCACCAUUUUCAUCCUGAAUUUCAGCAUUUUCAUCCUGAAAUAAAUCAAAUCCAAAUUAAAAUCUUGAAAUUCAGGAUAAAAUUACUAAUGUGGCAUAAAACUAUUGAAAAGGGAUAAUAUCCUUAUUUCAUACAAUCAUUUCUCUAUUAAAUAGAUCAAUUUAAUUUUUGUACUAUUAAAAAGAAUCAAAUAAGACCAAAUUAUAAUAGAGUUAACAUUUGUUGUUUAAAAAAUGACAUGGAAAUUAUUUUUUCUUUUGCAAUUCAACUACGAACAAAAAUUUCAUUUGCAAGAGGGUUGACUAAGAAAAUUCGAGAUACCAAAAACCAACCCAAAUUGAGAUAUUUGGACUAUUUAUAAAAUAUAAGUUAAAAAAUUAUGAUUGAACGAACCAAACCAAAUUCUAUUUAGUUUAUAAUUAAAUUAAUAUUUUAUGAUGUAAAAAUUAUUUUAUAUUUAAAAUAGUGAGAAUAAUUUAAAAUUUCUAUAUAGAAAAUAAUGUUUUUAAAAAUAUUAUAUAAAAUUUAUUAAUUUUUUUAGUUUAAGAGUUUUUGAGAUUUCUAUUCGCUUAAAAAAUUAUUAUUUUUUAGAAAUACUCAUAAUUUUUUGAAAACUUAUCAAUUAAUGUUAAAAAAUUAUAAAACAAAACUCAUUUUGUCAAAAUAUGUCAAAAAACCUAAAACUCAAAAAACUUGAUCGAACCAAACCAAACUCACAAUAGUUAAAAAGUCAAAAAAAAAAACCCUAAUUUGUGGAACCAUUAAAAAAAGUUCAAAAUAUUAACCAUGUUAAAAAGAAAUAUAUAAUUUUUUUGAACUACAAAAGUUAACUCCAUUAAAAUUUGACCUUAUUUUUUUUUCUUUUUAAUAAUAUAAUGACUAAAUUAACUCAUUUUAAUAGUAGAAGAGUUUAUUUGAUCAAAUCUCUAUAAUAGAGGAAGUUGGUAAAUACAUGGCUAAUAUAUUUGAAAAAGUCCUUAAACUAUUUUUGCACUUAAAUAAGCUACUAUCCUACCAUAAAAGUCAUUAAUUUUAAUAUUAAAGUAAAAUUAUUUUGAAUUUUUAAACUAAUUUACAUUUUAUGAUGAUGUGAUGUGAAUAUGAUGUGAAGAAUUUAUUAAAUAAAAAUAAAAUAAUAAUUUUGAAAGUAAAACAAAAUGUUAUUUUAAGUUUUUCUUGAAAAAACUUAUAUACAUAACACACUUAAUCAUUCUUUUGAAAAUUUUGAUAACUCUCUUAAAUUUUAUGUUGAUGUUAUAAUUGUCUAGGAUUUCUAUUAUAUCAACAAAAAAAUUAAGAUAAGAGCCUAAAAUUCAAAAUAAUUCAUUCGUAUGAACUUUUUUUUUUAUAAUUUCAUUAUAGAUUCUAAUCAUAUAUUCUCUUUUUGAUACAAUGCCUAGAACUACUCAUAGCCUCUUCCCAACCCUUAAGUUGGAGGAUAAUGCGCUUCAACACACUCAAACUCACGUUCUCCUAUACUGACAACAAUGUCUAUGCUAAUCGAACUAAGAUCUAAUCGACAAAAUCAUAGGAUAGGAAGUUAUUUAACUAUAAAAAAAUUGAAGAGCUUGUUUAAACAAAGUGAGAUACUUUAACAGGUUUUUUAAUAUAUUACCCUAAAUACAUUCAUAUUUUUUUUUUAUCUAUAACAUCUAAAAGAUAAUAUUCGAAUCUAGAAGAAAACAGUAGCAUUCAACUAAAAAAAUUAUGAAUCGCAUGUGUUCAUUUACCUGUAUUCUAUGCUUUAUCAGCACAUCUCAAUCUGGCUUGCAACUUUGGCUAGCUAGUUUCUAUUUUUGGUACAUUAAUUAUGACUGUCUAACUAUUUGACAAUAAAUAACAAUAACCCAGGGACAAUGUAUCCGUUCUAAAUUUUUUAGCAUUCAUGAGUUUAUUAACCAUGCUAUCAUGCACAUUCAUAAUAAUCAAGAAAACAGUAGGUCAUGAACUAAAUUUUCUAUCCCCUACCAUUUAAAUUACGGUUUCUAAUUAAUCUCAUCUAUAUUAAAUUAUGCACAUUUAAAGUUGUCCCUAACAUAAUUACAAAUUUCUGAAUACAGGAUGGUUGAUUUGGAGGCAGCUAAGCAAUAGUAAACAUUAUGAUUUAUGGGAUAUGGUGGGGAUUUGUUAUUAAGGUUUUUAAUUGGAUUAAAUUUAUCAAUUUCUUUGUUUAGAACUUAUCAGUUUCAAUGUUAAACUUCAUACUUUUAGGUUAUUGAAUUAAUUAAAAUUAGAUUAUUAGAUUAUAGUUUUAAUUAUUUUAUGAUGUGUUACUAUUGUGUCGGAUUUAUAUGUACAAUUUAUAAUUGUAACUUAAUUUCAGAAAUGAUAAAUUGUGUUAUUUCUUUGUUUUUAAAGUAAUUGAAGUUUAUUCAAUUUUUUACGUCUUAUUAAUAUGUUUUAUAUAGACUUUGACUUUUAGUAUUUUUAUAUUGUAUUUGUAUUAUUUUUAUGUGACAAGUUUUUAGUGCCUUAAAAUGUUGGUAGUAUUAGAGGCGAAGUCAAAAAAUAUUUUUAAGAGGGUCAAAAUUAAAUUAUAAUUUUUAAUAACUUAACUCUUUAUAAUUUUAAAAAAUUUAAAUUUAAAUUUUAUAUUUUAGAAAAAUAAAGUAAUAAUUUUUUAUUAAUUUAAAAUUUUAAAAUGAUUAAAAAGUCUAAAUGAAUAAUUUUUUAUUUUAAGAGAGAUUGAGCCCUACCAGCCCUCGUUAGGUACGCCGUCUCUGCUAUUAAACUUGAUGAGCCUAAAAAGACAUGUUGAGCCUGUAAAGGCAAUGUCAAGCUUGAAAAGGUGGAAAACUUUAGUUGCAGUGCACUUGAAAAAGGCUAGAAUGUGCACGAUCUUUAUCCUUGCGCGGAUCAAGUUAAAAUGUGUUGACUCAUUUAUCCACGAGUUACACAUGACACGAUAUUUAUCUUUGUAUGAUUCUUAAAAAUAUUAGUAAUUUUUUAUAAUAAUAUAUGUUUUACCUCUUGUGACUGAAAAUGUUAAAAUGUGCUCACUCAUUUACCGGUGAAAUAUACAUGGUACGAUAUUUAUCCUUGCAUAAAUUAAAAAUAUAUUAAUAUUUUUUUCAAUAAUAAAUAUUUAUCUCUAGACAGAAUAUAUAUACCUGAAAAGAUUAGAAUGCGUUCACUUAUUUAUUAAUGAGGUAUACAUGACAUAGCAUUUAUCUCUAGGUGACUCGGGAAAAUAUGAAUAAUUUUACCUUUCGUCAAAGUGUCUAAAUAGUAUUUGAAUUCAUACGGAUAAGUUACGGAACCAAAUAAAAAAUUGUGGGUUGACAAUUAGCUGUCUUUUAAGAGGCCAUGACUAGAAAUCUUGAAUGCUUGCGAGAAAAAAAAAAAAGAAAGAAAAUAUAUAUAUAUAGCUUAUACUAGGUAAAUGCACAACUGCUCGACGAGAGUGUACACAUACACCUCUCGGGGGUUUACGAAACCCCGUCAUGCUCCCAUUUUUUCUAUGGAAACUUCAUUGUUCACCAAGCUCCGACCACCACCGUCAGUUCUUAAAUGGGGUGAAUCAACCAACACCACCACAAUUUCUGCUUUGUUUGAUCUUUAAAUCAAUAAAGAGUUGGUUCCCAUUUUGCACAGUGUCUUUUAUCCAUAAAAUAACAUGAUAAGAAAAGUUGGAAAUUUUAGAUCUCAAGUUAAAUUUCAUUUAUGUUAUAAAUUUGUGGUUUGUUGUUCUUUAACCCAGAUGAUAAUUACUUCGUUUCUCUAAUAUUGAAAAAAAUACAUAUCACCACCAAAAUAAUCCAUAAAAAAAAAAACAGAGAGAAAUACAAUACAUUAUCGGUACAGGUUGUGGAUGCAAAUAGAGUAGAGAUUAUGUUUUGGAUUUAUGUUCAAGUCAUAUGUGGAUCAGCAACAUGUAUUGUUAGAAAUGGCCUUGCAUGGUCGAUGGGGAUCAAAUCAAAGAUUUCAUUGCUCGCUCUGUUUUCCUUGUGUUUUCAGCUUCAAUUUCUUUUGCCUGGAUUGUGCUGGAUAAUCUUGUCAAAUCUAUUCGAAUUAGAAAUUUGAGUUAUUGAACUCGAAGUCUUAAAAUUUGAUUCGAUAAAAAAUAAUAAUAAUUUGAAUUCAAACCCGAAUUCAUCCUAAGCUAAAUUGUUUAUUUACUUGAAUUAAUUUAAAAUAAUUUGAACUCGAACAUGUUAGAAUCUAAAAUACUUCGAAUCCAUAUAACUUGAUUUGCAAAAUCCAAACUCAAAACAAUUCAAACCUAAAAUGCCCCAAAAAUUUUAAAACUUUAAUUAAUUUGAUUCAAAUGCAUCCGACUCACCCAAUUGAAGACAAAUCUACUUGGAUCUACUAGUUUUUUUAAUGUACCUUAUCUAUGAAAGGCUUUAAAAUUGAAUAUGAAAUAUUACAUAUUGUUGAGUAUUUUUCUGUUGUAUCUCAUUGAAGGGGACAAUUAAAUAUUUAUACACAUGGUUACUGUUCAUGAAAUUGAUAUUCUUAGUAGGCUCUAUACAUGCUGGACACAUAUACUGUUUUGGUUUCUCUGAUGGACUUCGUGGCCUCACAUGCAAACUCUUUGGGUCUAUGCGAACUGAAAUUGCAGACUCCCUGUGCGAGCACUCCUCGGCAUAUGCGAAUUGAGACUGUGAACUCCCCUAGCUAAGCCCUCACUAUAAGGCCUGCACACAUCAUCUAGUAGAGCUCAGUCGGGUCACGGGUAGGCAACCCAAACUUUAUCUAAAUUUUAGGUUGGUAAUCAUAAAUACAUAACAAGUAGUUUUAUCCAUGAGUUUAGUCACCCACCCUAAUUGAGAUAGAUGUGAGCAUGACAUUUUUCAUUUUGGUCACGUCGAGGUUGAAUUAAAGAUUAAUGGCAAAAAUAUAUAAAGGUUAAUAAAAGAUUAUAUAUUUUUAAUAGUUUAUUAUUUUAUGAAUAACAAAAUGAGUUGUUGGGUCGAAUUGAAUUUUGCCUCAACUUAGAUUUUUUUUUCAAUUAGGCCCUAUUUUUCUUUUAAUCAGGCUCAAUCCAGCUAGCCCAUGCACAUGUCCACAACAUUUAAAGGAAAUAUGUGGAAUAGUUGGCAAAAUUUUCAUCCACUAUUAUUGAAUCAUUAACGACGGUUGACCCAUUGAAACAAGUAGUUUCUUUUGAAGUGUCUCCUUAAAAUUAAUUGAGUAUUAAUUUGUUGCUGCAUUAUUUGAAAUUUACGAGUUUGAAAUGUAUAAUGUUCCCUCAAUGAUUUGGGUAAUAUAUGGACAUAAUUUUAUUUAUUUAUUUAUGUUGCAAUCAUUACUAGAUAAGUGUGAAAUCGAACCAAAAAGAAAAUCCAAAAGUCGUUGAAAAUAAAUGUUAAUUGCAAGAUGCAACUUGAAAAACAGACUUAAAUUUCAAUGGAUGAAGCCGAUAACUUUAGGGAGUGCGGGGGUUGGGAUUUAAAAUUCAAUGAGAAGCUGAAAAGUUAGUUGAAAAAUAGGUGAUGGGAUACAUGUGUGGCGGCUUUGGUUAACCACUCAUUAAACUGUGACAUUUUAGUGCAUAAACCUCAGCCUGAACGUAUGAAUCCACAAUGCCUUGAGCACGAAGUAAUCUCUAUUUUCUUUCGUAUUUUAUUGAAACAAUGAACUUGUUUUUGGCUAUUUUACCAAAUUGACUCAAAAAAGUUUGAUAUUUAUAAAAAUGACUCAAGUUUAAAAAUAAUCACCAAAAUAAUUUGAAAUGAACAGUAAAAAGGGGUUUUGCCUGGUCAAUGGCCGGCACCACUUGAUAUUUUAGACCCAUGAUUACCUGAUGAUUGCGUCAGACUUUAAAAAAAUUAAAUUUUUUGGUUCUGACCUGUCAAUGACCGGCACCAGUAUAUUUUUUUAAAAUCGUAUCAUACUGGUAUACAAAAAUUUAAAAAAAAAACAAAAAAAAUUUUUAGUGCUGGCCUGUCAAUGGUCGGCACUAGUAUAUGAAAAAAAAAAUUUAGGCGCUGCCUUAUCAAUUGUCAGCACCAAUAUACGAAAAAAAAAUUUUGUGCUGGCCUGUCAAUGGUCGGCACCACCAGUACAAAAAAAUUUGUUUUGGGUGCUGGCCGGCACCAGCAGUACGAAAAAAAAUUUUAUGUGCUGGUCUAUCAAUGGCCGGCACCACCAGUAUGAAAAAAAAUUUUUUGGUGCUGCCCUGUCAAUGUCCGGUACCAGCAGUAUGAAAAAAAAAUUUUGGGUGCUAACCUGUGAAUGGCCGGCACCAAUUUAAAAAAAAAAUUGGUGUUGGCCUGUCAAUGACCGAGACCAAUAUACGAAAAAAAAUUUAGGUGCUAGACUUCUAAUGGUUGGCAUCAAACUUUAUAUAUAGUGGGUGGUUUGGGUUCUGAUAGUGUAAAUGGAAUGAGAAAAAAAAUUAAGAGAGUCAUCAAAAUGAGAGUGUUUUGUAGUAUAUCAUCAAAUGAGUUUUUUUGGAGUGGAUUGUAUAUGGAGUUUUUCGUAGUGUACAACUGAAUUUCGGGGUUGAAUUAUAUACUGUCAUAUUUUAAUGGAGUUGAAUUAUAUACUGUCAUAUUCACCCUAAAGGUUAUGACAUUAAGAGUUGGAUGAUUAUUUGCACCAUAUAUGGCUAAUCGAGUUGUCCAACGUAGAUGGACAUUAUCUAUGGUGCAAUAGUGUUUAUUCCACAACUAGGUUGUGGUUGGAACCGGUUGGUAGAGUCUCACAUGCAAAGGUAUCUCAUGGGAGAAUGGAAGAAGAAAAAGUCUAGAGCAGAAGACGAUUAAUUGUGAAGAAACUAGUAUCGAUGCAACGUAGACCUGAUUCAAGCAGAAGACGAUUAAUUGUGAAGAAACUAGUAUUAAAAAUAAUUGUAUUAUUUCUUAAGAAUGUUUGUAUUUUUUUAUAUCUGUAAAUUUAAUAUAGUUGUUUAGGAUUUAAGGUUUCAUUUUUAUAUUUUUGUGUAAUAAUUUCAUAGAAUGUUUGUAUUUUUUAUAUGUAAUUUAAUUUAAUCUGUAAUAUAUAAAGUUUGAAAAUUAAAUUUUCGUGUAUUAAUUUUACCCAUCUGUUUGUAGUUCAUUGGGUGUUUAAAUUUAAUAUAGUGCAUAUUAUUUUUGUUUGAAUUUUAUAUUUUUUGUAUUAAUAUUGUAGAAUGAUUGUAUUUUAUUGUGUACGUAAAUUUAAUUUGUCGUGUAGUAUUAGUUAUUUGAAUUAUUAUUUUUUAAAUAUUACGAAGUCAUUUAUUCAAACAGAUAAUUAUUUUAGAGAAAUUAAAUUAAUAUUAAAAAACAGAAAAAUUUAACAAUAAAAGAAAUAUUUAUAGAAUAAUUUUAAAAUAAAAUAAAAAUUAAUAGAAAAAAUUAAAAUUGUCGCGAUCCCGGGGACGUCCCCGGCGCUGGCGUGUAACAGUCCUGAUGCCUUCGUCGGCAAUGUCGUGCACCUUGCUGAGGCAUUUGAUAAUUGCUUGGUUUGGCAUCUGGUGUCCCGGCCGAUGUACUUAGAAAGGUAGAAUAAUCAUAUACACUAUAAUCGGGAGUUAAUUGGUAUUGCGUGACCGGAGGUACCGAUAGAAAAAUAUCCUCAGUGGUGGGUGUACAUGCUUCGAGAUGGAACUCCGGGUGGUAUGAGGAUGAUUCAAAUCAUGUCGAAUGUUGAGGCUCGAGGUCGUCACCAAAAAUAUCUUCGAACGAUGGAGGAAUUUCAUGCAGCGAAUCCGGAUCCAUGUUGUGUGAUGAUGAGCAGGAUGCUUCAUAUUAGGUGUCGAGAUCGGGGUUCGAGGUAGUAUCGAACUCGAUGUUCCCAAAUGGCGGAACUCGAUUUCUGCACGGUUGUGCGUUCCUUGGUUGCCAUCGAGAAGAUUUAGGUUGCGCGUCUCUUUGGAUCAACAUGUACUAACCUUGGAAUAUAAAGGGUUUUCCGUGUGCCAUAUACCAUGCUGUGUACUCAGGAGUGGAGAGAACCCUCCUUCUAAGACAUACAAGGGAGGGCGCCUCGAAUGUCGCUAAUUCCACAGAAAGAUAUACGGUUCAUUUUUUGCUCCCAAUUUAAAGCGUCUCGACUCGAACCCUUUUUAUCCAUUCCAUGUACUUCUUUGAUGUCGACGAAAGGGUUCGAGAUGGGUUGUGCACAACCGAACUGCCUCAAAACCCGAUCUCCAUCGUGCCACUCCACCAUAUGUAAAUGAAUUAACGGUACAUUUGACACGAACAACUAUUGCUACUCGAUAACCCAUGAUAGUAUGAGCGCCACGAUAUCUUCCUCAUUAUAUGGCAUCCAUAUAAACUGCAAAAUAAAGACAACACGUUAUUUUUUUCUUAUGCAAUUAUUGUAUUUAAAAAAGAAAUAUUCGAAAUCGUAUUUUACGCCAUCCCCGGAAUGAGUCUUUAUCAUCAUAUAGUACAUAGGUAUGGUGAACGAUCGCCCAAUUCCCGAUACAGUUGCCCAUCUAAAAAAGAAAAAUUAUCAAAUUAUUUUUCCCAUGCAAAAAAUAAGUAUAUUAUAGUAUAGUAUACAAUAAAAAAAAUAGAUGGCAAAAUUGAACUACAUAUUUACCUAUUAACGAGUGGCCAGACAUAUGGUUGGUGGCUCACUGAUGCCAGAAAUGACAUUCGGUAUAAUGCCCAAGACUGCAGUAGAAGGUAGCAACCGCCCAUUGUUUUCGUAGACGGCUUUGUCGCUCGACAAAGCUCACAGUAUAAGCAUGCCAACACUGCAGAGCCCCAACUAAAUCUUCCCGCAAGCUCGAGAUCCUCUAAUAAGGGGAGAUACAUUAUUGAGACUUUAUUUUGACUGACGUCCAACAAAAGUAUCCCACCUAUAAGUUGAAGAAUGAACGCUCUUGUAGUGUAGAUAAUGUUCAUCUGCGUUGGACUGCUCAGAAGAUGCUGGAAGUUUUCUUUUAACAAAGUAAAUUUAAUAUAUGUUAAUCAUCUUUCCUCGUUGUUCGGGGGCACCCUUUCAAGUAACCGCUUGGAAGUGCCCCACGGGUCGGGCACUCUUCCAAGCCCGGUCACUGCUUCGCCGUUUAUAGACAGCCCUAGUUGGACUGCUACAUCUUGCAGUGUAAUAUUUACCUCCCCACAUGAGAGGUGGAACGUAUGUGUCUCCGGGCGCCAUCUUUCAACUAAUGCCGAUAUUAAAUCAGCCUGCAGCUUAGAUAUCUUAAUGUACGCGGAUACCCCAAAACCCGCGACAUUCAAAUACGAUAUAACUCUUCGAUCGGGAAAAUAACUGGGAUCAUGCAAUCGGGGUCUCAUAAUUUUGUACAAAUUUUGUGUUUAUAGUAAAUAAAUAAUGUUAUAUUUCUCGUUUUAAAAAUAAUUUAAAAGAAUAUUUAAAAUUAAAUAAGAUAUUUUAUUUCUCGUUUACCUUAUGCACAUUACUUGCAAUAUGGUCAUUGUCAUUUAAAAGAACAUUCGGAUUAGGAUCCAUAAAGUGGUCGGCAGUUGUCAGCGGUGGUUGAGGGUGAACAGCGACGGUCGUCGGUGAUGGUUGAGGGUGAACCGCGGUGGUCAUUGGAGUUGCCUAUUUAUAGUAGGGGACCAUUUGGCUGAAGGGCAAAAUUGAAAAAAAAUUGCAAAAAAAAGGUGUAAGGCCGGCCAUUGGAAGGCCAAAUUGGCUAGUGACACAGAUCUGACGCAGAUGGGUCAUUUCAACCAUUUUUUUUCAUUCAAAAUUUAUUUUAAUUUCAUUACUUUUUAUUUUAGUUUCAUUUAAGUUUUCCUAAUAUUAGGGUAAUUUAAUAUUUUUCAUCUAUUUUUUAAACUUUUUUAAAAUUUUACUUUUGUCAAUUUAAAUUUAAAAUUUUUCUAAAAAAAAGCUAAUUUCAUUUUUGGGGGGUUUUUAGGCCUGACACCCCAUUUAGAUAAAUUAAAUUUGUUAAAAUAAAUCUAAUUUCAUUUUUUUUCAUUUAAUAUUUUAUUUAAAUAUAUUCAUUUAUUUAUUAUUUUUGUUAAUUUAAAAUUUAAAUUUAUUAAAAAAUAUCAUCUAAUUUCAUUUUUUUUGUUUUUUUAGCUUGACACCACAUUUAUUAAGCUUGAUAACCGAUAUUUCAAUUUUGAAGGCCAAAAAUAUGAAAAAAAAUGUGUAAGGCCACCAUUGGAAGGCCAAAUUAGCCAGUGACACACGCCUGACACAGGCUUGAUGCAGAUGGGUCAUUAACUUUUUUUUUUUUCGUUUCAUUUCAUUUUAUUCUAAUUUCAUUUCCAUUACCAUUUCCCUUUCAUUUCAUUUAAAAUAUAUUUUUUUCAAUUUCAAUUUAUUUUUUUCUCAAUUCAUUUAUAUUAUUUUUUAAUUUAAAUUUAAAUUUUUCUGCACUUCAUUUAAAUUUUCUAUUUUCAAUGCAAAUUUAUUUUUAUCUUAUUUCAUUUUAUAUUGAAUUUUCUAUUUUCAAUUCAAAUUUUUUCUCCUCAUUUAAAUUAAAAUUUUCCCUCAUUUCAUUUAAAUUUAAUUUACUUUCAACUUUUUUCUCAUUACAUUUAAAUUAUCUAAUUUUUUAAAUAUUUACAAUAUUUUUAUAAGAACAUGCUCUCAAUAAUAUAUCACACGCCAUCUUGGAGUCCAGCAUUACGAGACGAUUGACCGGAAAUGUAGACAUGAUGUAGGCAUGUUGAUCGGUUGUGUCUGGAUGUUCAGCACACAGUGCACAAUUUGGGUUCACGCGUCUCCCUAACAUCCAUGUCAUUUCGAAUUCUCGUCGAUUGUGGUCGACCUUUAGGAUGUCUGUGGAGACUACGGUCAGGCACCAUCUCGAUAGCAUGCAGUGGAACUUCCUAGUUUGAGACAUCGGGCAUUACAGGAAAUUUGUUCCCCCAUAUACUUAAUAUGCGUUGCAACGUGUAGAUCUCGUCUAUGAAUUGUUCAACAUUUAAGUUUCCUGUCGCACACACUGCAUGAACAUGCGCACACGGAUAUCAAAGAGUUUGAAAUAUCCCGCACUUGCAUCGCCUGUUUCGCAGAUCAACUGUGUACGACCUAGGUAGAAGACCCGAAUGACGGCCGAUGUACUCCUGAACUUGGAAAGUCUCCAAGUCGCUCGAAUACAUUUCUGUGUUCAUUGUUUGUGUAACAGCCCAAUUUCAAAUCUAAUCAGACAUAGUGGUUUCGGGACCACAAGUCUGAGUCAAAAAAUAUUUUAAUAUUAUUUUGUGUGUUUAUUUUGUGUGCAUUUGAUUGUGUGAAAUUUUCGUGUUUUAAUUUUGUUGUUUGAGUGUCCGAUUAAAUAAAAGGAUUAAAUCGCGUAAAAUAAAAAUUUAAUGGUUAAAUAUGAAAGUGUCUAUUUGUUGUUGUCUUUAUAAUUUAGAGGAUUUAAGAAGCAAUUAGUCCACCAUUAAGUGAGUGGGUGGCAAUGGUCAAGAAUGACCUUAUAAUAUGUGUUAUACAUUAUAUUUUAACAAAGGUUAAUUAAGUAAAUUAAUUAUUAUGGUUAUUAUAUGUUAAAUAUAACAAAUUUAAAACAUGUUCUUCAUCUUUUUCUACCGAAACUAAGAGAGAAAAUAAGGGUUUAAAGCUUUGGAAAAAUUUGGCACUUUCAAGCUUGGAUUAAGGUAUGAAUUUUGUUCGGUUUUUGAUAAUUUUUAUGUUUUUGAGAUCGUUGCUUCGAGUACUAUCCGACCCAUGCUUGAAUUUUUUUAUUUUGAUGAAUAUUUUGAGCUAUGCCAUUGAUGAAUAAUUGUGUUUUGUGAUGUUUGAUAAUGAAUAAUGAAAGAUAUGUUUUAGAUUAAUAUGUUUUGUAUUGGAAUUUUUGGUGAAAUUGAGUAAUUAGGGUUAAAUUGCAAAAAUAAUAUUUUUAGAGACUAAAAUGUGAAAUAAAUGAAAUGUGUGAAAUUGUAUGAAGACAAGGAACAUUCGGCCCUAGCUUACUGUGGGCAAAUUUUGUGUAUUUUGUGUUUUGUGCAAAAAGGACUAAAUUGAAAAAAAUGUAAAAUGUUAGGGGCAAAAUGGUAAUUUUCCCAUUUAUGUAUUUUUGGACUUAAUUGAAUGUUUUGAUGAAUUAAAAAGGUUAAAUUUGAUUAUGUUUAGAUCAAGAAACGAAGAAAACGGAUUUGGAUCAGGGAAAAACGAAAGUAAUCGAAUAGUCGAUCGUGUCCGCUGAUAUCCGAGGUAAGUCUAUUAGCAAUUAAAAGUUAUUAAGUUAAUAUUUAUACAUGUAUACUAAUUGUAUUUUGUGUUGAGCUAUAAUUAAAAGUAUAUUGAUUGAAUAAAUUUUGAAGUAUGGACGAUAUUUACAUAUAUAGCAUGUUCGAAUAUACAAGUAUAAUCUUGUAUAGAUUUAUGGGUUGAAAUAAAGGUAAGAAAUGUAUAAGAGUAUAGUUGAUAUUCGAAUAAGCAUGUAUAUAUAUAUAUAUAUGUAUAUAUAUAAUGCUAGAGUAUAUAUAUAUAUAUAUAUAUAUAUAUAUAUAUAAAAGUUAUUGAAAUUAGUUAAAGUAUGAAUGUUGCAUAGGUAUAAAUUCUUGAUUUUAAUCAAAGGAAUGUAUAAUAUAUAUAUAUAUGGUGCGAAUAUAUAUAUAUAUAUAUAUGUAUAAACUCUUGGAUUUAUUUAAAGUUAUGUAACCCAUGAUUGUAUGAGAAAUUUCGAAUAGAUAUGUAUAUGUGAAUUGUAAAUUAUAUGUAUAUGCUAUAUUUGAAUAAGCAUGCUUACAUAUAUGUAUAUGUUCUGGUAAUGAAUUUUAAGUAUGAGUGUUAUAUAUAUCUGCAUAAAUGAAGUUCGAAUAUGUACAUAUAUAUAUAUAUAUAUAUAUAUAUAUAUAAAUGUACAUCUAUUGUAUAUUUGAUGAGCUAAAAUUAAAAGUAUAUGUAUUGAAAAUUAGUUGAGUAUGAAUGAUAUAUAUAUGCAUAAGUGUGAGGUUCGACUAUAUAGUUAUAUAUAUAUAUAUAUAUGUACAGGUAUAAUUUCUUGUAUUGAAAUUAGGUAUGGAAUUAUAUAUUGACAUACAUGGUUGAAUGUAUAUGUAUAUAUAUGUUUAAGAUUUGCAUUGAAUUAAAAGUAUAAAUUUUAAAUGCUUGUAUGAUUUGAACAUGGACUACAAAUUUUCUUAGGAUAGAGUUGAGAUUGUGAAUUAUAUAUAAAUGUUAUGAAUGUGUGUUGCUAUUAAGAAAUAUACGAGAAAUCAUCCUUGUAUCUGUGAAAUUGAGAUUUUCAGGCUAAGCGCCUAGCAGGCUUAAUGCCGGUGAAUUUUUUAGACUUUAAGUCUAGCAGGCUAAUUGCCGGUGAUCUGAAUCAGGUUAUAAACCUAGCAGGCUACGUGCCGGUGAUCUGAAUCAGGUUAUAAACCUAGUAGGCUACGUGCCGGUGAUCUGACUCAGGCUAUAAGUCUAGCAGGUUAUGUGUCGUUGAAUAUGUUUAAAUUAAGUGAUUGUAUACAAUGAAUAUAUAUGUAUAUGAUUUGGUUAUUUGUAUUGGAUUAAUAUAUGAACAUCUGUUGCUAUGUUUUUGAUGAGCAUAUAAAAGCUCGAAUCGUUGUGUCUGGUGAGUAUAUAUAUCUAUGCGUUCGGCAUAUGUGAAUUAAGGUGUAUAUAUAUAUGUGUGUGUGCAUUCGGCACAUGUGAUUGAUAAGUAUAAUUAUUUGCUUUUAACAUAUGUAUAUGAAAGAUCGUAAACAUGCAUUCAAUGAAAUGCAAUGAUAAGUAUAUUUGGAAUUUAUAUUUGCGAUUAAUGAUUAUGUAUAUAACUUGAUUUUUAGGUAUAUAAUGAUAAUACAAAUGAUCGUUUAUAUGUAUUUUGGAUAUGCUAUAAACUUACUGAGCUAUAGAAGCUUACUUUGAUUGUUUUUGUUUAUUUGUUUAUAGAUUUUGGAGACGCGUUACGAGCUCGGGGAUCGUCAGCAUAGUCUAUCACACUAUCGACUUCUUUUGGUAUUUUGUUAACAGUUUGAACUUGAUCUUAUGGCAUGUAUAGGUUUGAGUAUGAUUUUGGUUAGAUUUCAAUUGUAUAAUAUAAUUAGCCAUGUGAAUAUGGUUUAAUUUCUAUUUUUGUGAUCAGUUUGGUUUUUAAAUAAAAAAAUGGUUGUGUUUGUUCGGUAAUGCCUCGUAACCCUAAUUUGGCGACGGAUAUGGGUUAGGGGUGUUACAGUUUGUGCCCUUCGACUAUUUACCGCCAUAGCCUUUCGAAUGGCCUCUACAUACACGUGCCCGACCUCGAUCUGCUUAGCUUGUCUCAACCCCAUCUUAGGCAUCAAUGUCGCCAACUUAUAGAAUGUUGCCGAGAAUACAACAAAAAUCGGGAGAUGGCGUGUGUGCCUAAAUACAGAGUUGACCGCCUUUACCAGGUUAGUCGUCAUUUGCCCAUACCGAAACCCCUCAUCGUAACUUUGAGUCCAUUGCCAGUUCUCUAUGCUGCCAACCAUGUCCAGAGAUUUGUUGGUAAAGAUGACAUUUGAGAUUCAAGCCUUACGAACCUCUGCCUGAAUCUUCUCAGUUCUAACUCAUGGGUUGCAUAUUUAAUUUGAAAUCACCAAUUUAAAAAAGACAAAAAAUUUGAAAAGUAAUUUUUGAAAUAAAUACAAACAAUUUUUUUUACGCAUGUUCACGAGUUCUUUUUUCCAAUCUUUAUUCUUAUAAUCUCUAUGAAAGUUUGCCGCGAUGUGUCAGAUGCAAUAAAUAGACCUCCACGGAACCCCCUAUCGCCUUAUUGCAGCAAGUAAUCCUUUCGAUAUUUCAGAUAUAAGGCAAAUGUUGUCUUUUCUGACAACGUGCCUCCGCAGAUUUAUGAGGAAAAAUUCCUAAGACUCGAAGCACUCACGCUCCAUGAUGGUGAAAGUAAUCGGAAGUAUAUUUCGAUUGUCGUCUUGUGCAACAGCAAUAAGGAGGAUUUACGUGUAUUUUCCAUACAACCAUGUCCCGUCCACCUGCACCAUCGGCUUGCACUGAGGGAAGACCCUAACACACGACUUGAACGUCCAAAGCAAUCAGUGAAAAACUCGUUUCCCCGGUUGUAUCUCCCCAUUAGGGCCUUUAUACGACAGUGUUUGUAAAUCAGUCACUGUCCCCGGUACAUACUUCUGCAUCCCAUCUAUCCACCCUUGAAGCUCGUUGUAUGACGCAUCUCAGUCACCAUAAAACUCUCGCAUUGCCAUUUGCUUUGCUCACCAUGCCUUUCGGUACGACACUUUGUACUUGAAUCGAACUUGUAUAUCCGCAAUAAGGACCGACACUUGAAUGGUGGGUGACUCUUUCACCAAAGGGAUGAUGCAGUUGCAUAUGGCUUUUGCAUCUAACCAUGGUCUUACGACAUACGAGCGGACGUGCAUGUGUGUGGACCUUCUAGUUUCCUUAUCACCCACAUCUGUGUCCGCUACAUUAACGUGGCUCGGACACGCCAUUUACAACCACUCGAUGCUUUUCAACAUUCUCCUAUAUACAAAGACUGCGUCGACUUCGUUACUUUAUAAUCCACACCUAACUUCAAGCUAAGUCGUUUUAUAACAUGUAAACAGUCUUUUUUGUUAUCAAAUUGUUGUCCUACAAACAAUUCUUUUUCGUCGAAUUCAUUGUAAACUAGGUGAGCUACACAAAAUUUGUAUAUUCUGGGAACUCGCGUGCAAGAAUCGCAUCAGGAUCCACGUCGGUCAUGAAGGACCCUGGAUUAUUUCUUAUAACUAUACCAGGGCCCAUGUUUCCGGCUAAAUGGGGGUUCCCAUUUUCACCCUCUACCGGCCCUUCUUCAUCUAUGUCUUCAGGGAUGUCAUCCAAAUUGAGGUCACUAAAAUCAUCGUUGAGAUCACGGUGGGACUAAUCAUCAUUAUCAGACCCUUCAUCACUAUCUUCUAUGGUGGCCAACACUUUUGGAUGGAUCUCUAGACGAGGAGACGAGCUUGGGGUGUUAUACGAACAUCUAUCGGUGUUUGGAUUUUUGGAAGUUGGCGUUGACCGUCCAAAACCCGACUGAUCUUCCCAAGAGACGUUAAGAUCAAAAUCAAUUCCGAAACGUUGGCUUGCUGGAAUUACCACUUGAAUGGGAUCCGGUUCAGCUGUCUCCGUGAACAACUCAACUGAGCUGGGAAUUUCUAUCUCAAGAGGGUAAUAAAUUACUAUCAUUGUCCCUAAAUCAUCAUCUUCAAGCUCCAUAUCUGAGAACUUUAGCGGAUCAGUUGAAACAAAAAAUUUGUAAAAUAGUCUCAACAUUUGCUUUCCGCAAUGGGUUGCUAUCUUUGUACUGAUUUUUCGUUUUAAAUCUGACAGCGAAAUUCGUUUGUUGAAUCUCAUUCAUAUUUUUUUCGGCUUCUAAAUACACAGCCUUCUUCAGUUGUAUUUAUCAUUUAUCCAUCGAAAUGAACAUAAACAAACAACAUUUAGGAACUCAUUUUAAAAAAAUUUUGCUUUCUUCUAAACAAAGGAAAAAAAAUUGAAAUCAAACAAAAUGGAAGAUAAAAUACAUAUAUAUAUUUGAUAAAUUUGGUGCCGACCAUUGAUAGGCCAACACCAAAAAAUUUUUUUCAUACACUAGUGCCGGUCAUUAACAGGCCAGCACCUAAAAUUUUUUUUCGUCUAUUGGUGCCGGCCUAAAAAAAAUUUCUUUUUCGUACUGCUGGUGCUAUCCAUUGACAGUCUAACACUCAAAUUUUUUUUCGUAUACUGUGUAGGCCAUUGACAGGACAACACCCAAAAUUCUUUUUCGUAUACUGGUGCCGGCCAUUGACAGGCCAGCACCCCAAAAAUUUUUUUCGUACUGUUGGUGCCGGCCAUUAACAGGCCAGCACCCAAAAUUUUUUUUCGUACUGUUGGUGCCGGCCAUUGACAGGCCAGCACCUAUAAAAUUUUUUUUUUCAUACUGCUGGUGUGGGCCAUUGACAAGCCAGCAUGCAAAAUUUUUUUUUCGUCUGGUGGUGCCGACCAUUGACAGGCCAGCACCCAAAAUUUUUUUUCGUAUACUGAUGCAGGCCAUUAACAAGGCCAACACCCAAUUUUUUUUGUUUUUUUUAAAAUUUUUGUAUUCCAGUAUGAUACUAUUUUAAAAAAAUACAUUGAUGCCGGCCAUUGACAGGCCAGAACCAAAAAAUUCAAUUUUUUAAAGUUUGGCACAAUCAUCAGGCAAUCAUGGGUCCAAAAUACCAGGUGGUGCCGGUCAUUGACAAUCAAGUCUUUUAAUAACAGUUGACUGCAUAUCUUUUCAUGGAAAAGCAGACUUAUCCAUGAGUUUAGUGACCCACUCUAAUUGAGAUAGAUGUGAGCAUGACAUUUUUCAUUUUGGUCAAGUACGUUUGGCUUGAAUUAAAGAUUAAUGACAAAAAUAUAAUAGGGUUAAUAAAAGAUUAUAUAUUUUUAAUAGUUUAUUAUUUUAUGAAUAGAAAAUGAGUUGCUGGGUCGAAUUGAAUUUUGCCUCAAUUUAGAUUUUUUUUUUCAAUUAGGCCCUAAUUGUUGUUUUUAAUCAGGCUCAAUCUAGCUAGCCCAUGCACACGUCCACAACAUUUAAAGGAAAUAUGUGGAAUAGUUGGCAAAAUUUUCAUCCACUAUUAUUGAAUCAUCAACCACGGUUGAUCCAUUGAAACAAGUAGUUUCUUUUGAAGUGUCUCCUUAAAAUUAAUUGAGUAGUAAUUUGUUGCUGCAUUAUUCGAAAUUUACGAGUUUGAAAUGUAUAAUGUUCCCUCAAUGAUUUGGGUAAUAUAUGGACAUAAAUUUUUUUAUUUAUUUAUGUUGCAAUCAUUACUAGAUAAGUGUGAAAUCGAACCAAAAAGAAAAUCCAAAAGUCGUUGAAAAUAAAUGUUAAUUGCAAGAUGCAACUUGAAAAACAGACUUAAAUUUCAAUGGAUGAAACCGAAAACUUUAGGGAGUGCGGGGGCUGGGAUUUAAAAUUCAAUGAGAAGCUGAAAAGUUAUAUGAAAAAUAGGUGAUGGGAUACAUGUGUGGCGGCUUUGGUUAACCACUCAUUAAACUGUGACUUUUUAGUGCAUAAACCUCAGCCUGAACGUAUGAAUCCACAAUGCCUUGAGCAUGAAGUAAUCUCUAUUUUCUUUCGUAUUUUAUUGAAACAAUGAUUUUGUUUUCCUUAAUAAUCUGGGAAUACUAUACAGCAAUUAGUCAAAUCAAGUCUUUAUUAACAGUUGACUGAAUAUCUUUUCAUGGAAAAGCAGUGGAAAUUAGGCAAAGAACUGUCACAUGAUCUAGUUGAGUAGUCAUAAGUGACGUCUUCAAACAGAAACGAAAGGAAGGGAAUUCGUUAAAAAGCAAGUAUAAUUCAAAGGCGAAAAUAAUGACUAGAGGUGCUCAUGGGCCGGGUCGGGCUGGAUUCGGGCCGGGCUCAGAAAAAAUUUCAGUCCGGGUCCGGCCCGGCCCGAAAUAUGAGCUUAGAAUUUUGUCCAGGCCCGGCCGGAGAAAAAAUUCAUAAGCCCGGGCCCGACCCGGCCCGGCCCGGCCUAUUUUUUAAAUAAAUAUCAAAAAUUUAUUUUAAAAAUAAAAACAAAAAUUAAAAAAAAUUUUAAAAAAAUUUUAAAAUUAAAAAAAAUUAAAAAAGUAUUUUAAAAAAUUUAAAAAUUUAAAAAAUUUUAAAAUUAAAAAAAUUAAAAAAAAUAAAAAUAUUUAUUAUAUUCGGGCCCGGGCCAAAAAAGUAGUGCCCGAGGCCCGGCCCGUUUUUUAAUCGGGCCUCAUUUUUUUGCCCAAGCCCAUAUUUUGGGCUUAUAUUUUUACCCAAACCCUCCCAUAUUUCGGCCGGGCCGGGCCGGGCCGGGCCGGGCCGCCCGGCCAUGAGCACCUCUAAUAAUGACAAAAUGAACAAUAUGGCUAUGGGUUUGCGUACGUUGAUGGCACUGCAAGCACUGUUUUUGUGUGUUUAAAAUCAAACAAAGCGUGAUCGUCAUUAAAUGUGUGUUGGCCAAGCAACUGUCCUCUAUAAUCAUUUCCAACCAUUUAUAUAUAUGAAUAUAUCCAAAACUAUCUCUACGAAGCAUUGAAUUGUUAUCAACUAAUCAAUAACCUAUAUUGGUAUGGAUGAAUAUUGAAGAUUUCGGAUAUUGGAAACACAACCACAACACAAUAAUCUCAAACUAACUAAUGACUAUAUUUUAUGUCGUAAAAGUAUCGUGAAGAUUUUUGUAUUUAGAAUUUAAUUGUAUUUUGUUCUUUUUAUUAAAAGGAAGGUUCUAUUUGUUUGAUAAGUACACUUUCUUUUUUUCUUUUUACAUUAUUGGUAAAAUUUUAAUUUUGGUUCAUCUAUUUUUUAUAUUAUAUAAAAAGGGUUAAAUUUUAAUUCAAUCCCUAUACUAUAUUCAAAUUUGAGAUUUAAUUUUUAUAAAUUAAUUUUAACAUAAUUUGACUCAUCAACAUUUAUAAUAUCAUUAGUUAAUCUAACUAUUUUAUUCUAAAUGCUAACAUAAAUUUUAAUAAUUUUUAAAAUCAUUAAAUAUUUUUGUUAAAUUUAUGUCUAUUACAAAGUUAUUUUUUUCUCACAUGAUUAUCGAGUGAGUACUUUUUAAAUUCUAGAAUGUCACGCCAAUAAAAUUAAUAUAAGAAUUUUAACAAUAUUAACAACUGGACUUGAAUUUUUAAUUUCUAAAAAUAGAGAGGCUAAAUUCUUAAAAAUAAAAAUACAAUAAUUAAAUUUCAAAUAUACAAAGCGUUUAAAUAGUUGAAGCAUAUUAUAAAAUUUUAAUUUUAAUUAUUUAAUUCAAAAAUAAUUAAGACAACACAAAACUGGAGAAGAAAAAAUCAAUUAAGUUCAUCUAUUAAAUUCAUACCCAAUUAAGCUAUUGUCGUUAAUUAAAAUAAUUAAUUAAAUCUCUCCAUUAAGAGUGUCUGUCAUUGACAAUGUUGACCGUUAAAAUAAAUUGACGGACUAAUCAAACGGUUCCAUAUGGUAGCUUUUGGUUUAAUCUAUUAUUUUUCUCAUACAAAAUGAUUAAAAAAUCAUAAAAUCAUUAAAAAAAGAGAAAAUAUUAAAAAUAUUAAAAUUGAUAUAUUAAAAAUAUUAAAAUUGAUAUAAACUUAUUAAAAUUAUAAAAAUAUAAAAACUAAUGAAUAUUAUAAAAUAUAACAAACUAAUAAAUUAUAAAAGGAAAUUUAUAAAAUUAAUAAAGUUUAUUUAAAAUAUUAAGUUAAAAAAAACAUAUCAGAAUUCUUUUUUGGUAUAAUGCUUAGAACUACCCAUAGCACCUCUUCAACCCAUAAAUAGAAGAUAAUGCGCUUCAAUGCAUUCGAACCCAUAUCCUACUACAUUGACAACAAUGCCCAUGCCAAUCGAACUAAGACUCAAUCGACUCGUAUUAGAAUCCUUUAAAAAUAAUAAAAAAUGUUAAAAUUUAUUAAAAAAUAUUUAAAAUGAUAUAAAGUUAUAAAAAUUAUAAAAUAAAUCAUAAAAACUUGAACUAGAUCGGUUAUCCCUAAAUCGACAAGGGUACUGGUAUGAGGAAAGCCAUUAGACCGGUUGACCUAGGAACUGGGUAGUUAAAUUAAUUUUUAUUUUUAAUUCUUUUAUCAAACCAAAAUUUCAUUAUCCAACUAUUAGCAUAUGUCAAAAUGAAAUAUUCUAACCAAGGUUUUUAGUACUAGACCGGUGGUCAAACCGGUCUGGCCAUCAGUUUUUCAGUUCAGUUUAUCUGUCUAGUUCAAUUAAAUAAAAAAUUAAAAAAAUAAAAAAGAAUAAAAAAAUUGGUUCAACCAUUUGGUUCCUAGGUCAAUCGAUCUAAUGACUUUCUCCAGACUGAUACCCUUGCCAAUUUUGAUCUAAUUGGUCCAAUUGACUAAUUCAAUCCAGUUCAAUUUUUUUAUGAUUUUUUUUAUAAUUUUUGUAAGUUUAUAUCAAUUUUAAUACUUUUUAUGAUUUUUAUAGAAUUAUAAUAUGUUUUUAUAAAAAUUUUAAAUAUGUUUUAUUAAUUUCAUAAAAUUUUUAUAAUUUUAUAUCAACUUUCAUAUAUUUUUAAUAUUUAAUAAUUUUAUAUCUCUUGAUUAUUUUUAUGAUUAUUUUUAUAAUUUUUAUGAUAAUUUUAUGAUUUUUUAAUUAUUUUAUGGAAAAAUAUGGGAUCAACUAUAGGCUGCCACGUGCCACCAUCCGAUUGAUUUGUCAAUAUAUUUUAACGAUCAAUAUGGUCAAUGACGGAAACUAUUAACAACAGAACUUAAUUGAUUAUUUUAAUUAAUGAUAGAGGUUUAAUUGGAUGUGAAUUUAAUAUAGGGAUUUAAUUGAUGAUUUUACACUUUUUAAGAGUUUUUUUUUUCACGUAUAUAUAUAUAUAUAUUUAGGAAAUAAAUAGCUAAACAAUAUGGGUGCAUAAAACAAUUAAUUAAUGUUGAUCAAUUUUUCUUUCAUCUCAUAAAAGACAUUGAUGUGAACAAGUUUAUAUCCGAAAAAGUCCACAUUAACAGGUAAUGUGAGAUUUAAAGACGUCUCUUACUUUUUAUGGGAUUGAUUGUGACAAUGAUAUUAUUAGGUGCAAUUUAAUAAAGUGUUGAGCAAGUUGGGAAAAAAUAUUGGAAGGGUUAAAAUACCUUCUUAGCCCUUGUACUUCUGCAAAAUUAGAAAUUUAAAAUCUCUACAUUUAAAAAGUUAAAAAAUUUGUUUAAUACCUUAGUCUAAUCAUUAGUAUCAUAAGUAUUUUCAAUCAAAAUUUGUUUAACUUAGCAUGUUGGUUAGGUUACUAUCAUAUAAUUUGGUAUAUGAUUGACGGAAAAUAAUCAUGUUAAGUUGACAUUUUUUUACAGAAACUAUUAAUGAUGUUAAAUAAUUAGAGUAAGGUUCUAAAUUGGAAAAGUAAUAGAAUUUAUUUUUUAACUUUUAUAAGGAUUAGAUCUAAAAUUUGUAAAGGUAUAUAAAAAAAAAACUUGUUUCAACCAAACCAAAAUAAAGUCAAAUUGACAAGAUUUCGAGUAAUUAAUCCAAUCAAUUCAAUAGAUAAGUUGAAUCAAAAAUAAAUUUUUUUAAGGAUCUUACAAGUAUAUUAGUAAGUACUUGAACGAUUGCCUCAAUCAAAUUAGUAUAAAACAUAGUGGAUUGAAAUUUAAAAUAUAUUUUAGAUAGAGUUACACGUUGUAGGAUUUAAAUUCAAAAUAAAUUAAGGUGAGAAAUUAUUGUAACACCUCAUUACUUGACUUGAUUGCCAGGUCUGAGUUACAAUGUGUCACAUUCGUUAUCAGAACAAUUACGGUUAAAGUACAUUUAUUUUCAAACCGUUAAACAUAUAAAUGUAACUAAAACAAGUGUAUCAAACGAUACAUAAUCAUUUAAGGGUCUUAUACGAGCUUAAGAAAGAUCUUUUACUAACCCAAACUUGAAAUAGGACCAAAAAAUAAGGAUUCUAAAAUUUUGGGUUGACGUUGCGACGCUGAGGGUUUCUUGUCACGAUGCAACUCUCUAUUUGGUGCUCAUCAUGACCUUGAAGCAACGACAUCACCACAAGGACUUUGCUCUAUUUCUCGUCGCGACAUCAGUGAUUCGUCGUCAUAAUGUGACUCAUUGUUACCAAAAGGGACUAAUUUGAAACAAGUUUUAAAGACCUCUAUUAACAUGAAUAAUCUCAAUCACAAUCAAACAACACAUUUACAAUUGCAUAGGAGACAAAACAUACCAAAACGAUACUUCAAAAUUACAUUACACGGCUAAGUUCCAAGUUUGACCAUUUUUGAUACAAAACCGGCGUGAACCUAGGUAAAUGCCUUACAAUAUAAAUGGUACUUUAAAAACUUUGUUGAGUCAGAAAAGGUCAUCUGGAUGUUGACUUCAAUUCCUGAGACUUUGAGAAAACAAAUUAUACAUUUAGCAAUAGACUCAGUGGUACAUUUGUAAUUCAAGACAUAAAUAUAUGAUCUAACAUUAACAAGGAGCUUUAGCACUAACCAAGCAUCAUGUACUCAACAUUUAAUAAAAACAUAUAUCUAAUGGUCAAUUAUAGUUCAAUAUCCAUCUAUACAUACAUAUGCAUAGCAACAUAUCAUUAACCAACCUAUUUAACAAUAUUCAUACAUGUUCGAUUUCCAACUUGAUAUCUGAUGAUCAAUCAUACAAUACAAUUAAGAAUUAAACACAAAUAUUUAUAUAACCAUGCUAUUCAAUUCAAUUCUGGAGUCUACCGACUCAUCCAUAUUUGUUUUGGCCCCCAUGCCUCGUUUCGGUGAAUUUACAAGUUGGAUGACAAACUUGUUUUCAAAAUACAAACCAUAUUCGAUUAUACUAUUAAUUUCAUAACAUUACUAAUUCCAUUUUCAACAUUAUAGUCAUACUUAUCGUUUAUAACCCUUAUUAAUCGGACUCGGAAUGGGACGGAUACUCGAAUCAUCCAACCAACGCACUAGACUGGCACCGAAGUGCAUUAUCAUAUAAGUUGAAAUAAAGGAAUCUGGCACAUAAAGUGCAUACUGGUGCUCAAAGCGCAUACUAGCACAUGAAGUGCAUUCUAGCGCGUAAGUGCAUAAACUCGUACAUAAUCCAAUCCUAUGGCUUGCCAACUAUAAAUGUACCAUUGAGUCUAUUGCUUAGCAUACAGUUUGGCUUAUUCAAGCUCCCAUAACCUCAAAUAUAUAAAAAUUACAAGAAAAGACCUUGAUUGCACUUACAAUUUUAUAGUCGAAAUCUUUAGGGCACAAAAAUGAUGGUUUCUCUUUUGUUUUUCUUCUUUGGCCGGUUGGAGAAGAUGAAUAUUUCAUCUCUUCUUCCACCAAUUCUAUUUAUAUUAUUAUUUUUACUUUAAUUAAACUAGUUUAAUUAAGUUAAGCCUUACUUAUUUAACCUUAAUCAUUAAUUAAGUUAAGUAAAUGGCAUCAUCCAUCACCUCCCACUAACAUAUAUUUAAAAUAGGUAUAUUUUCUAUUUUAGUCCUUUGGUUAAUUGCUAUUUAAGUCCCCCAAACCUUAAUCUAAUUAAAAAUAUAUAGUGAUUAAACUUUUACAAUUUAGUCAUUGAGCCUUAAUUUCUCACAAUUUUGGCUAAAUUACUUAACCAAAUUUUAAUUCAUUAAUACACUAACACCGUAAAUAUCCCUAUUUAACAUUUACGAAUUUGAUUUACGGAAAUGAGAUUCUGAAACUGCCUUUUUCGACAUCACUGAAAACCGGGUCAUUACAAAUACAUAGUUCAUACAUAAUAGAGCUUAAAUCUAAAACAUCAAAUUUUCAAUUUUAUCAUUUUAGCCAAAACUUCAUCUAGAAAAUUAAAACAAAAUUUAAAUAUUAAAUAUAAUACUUAACAAAAAAAAAUUAGAUUUUGUCACACCCAUGAUGUCAAUGGAAGAAAAUAUUUUAAAAUUUUUUUCUUUAAAGAUGAUUUGAAGUUUGGAAUGACAAAAACGUCAUCAUAAGAAUAUUAAUUAUAAUUGAAAGUAAGAGGUAUUUCUAUAAUUUCAUAAUUGAUUUAGUGAUUUGAUUAAGAGUGACAUCAACACAGUAAAAUAUUUAAAUAUUAGUAUUAGAUAAGUAUUUCGCUAAGUGAUAUGGUUACAACUAAUUAUAUGAAUCAUAUCACAUCACACUACACUAAAAUAGACUUUUCAUGACGUUUUAAAUAUGUCACGGAAACAACACCAAGAUGUCACUAAAAAGAUUUUGAAUUUUCAUGAUGUUUUUGACAAGACGUAAAAAAACAUCACGCAUUAACUGUAGAGAAAGUAUUUGUGAUGUUUUCACAACACUUCUCCUUUCGAGACAAUGGUAAACGUCACGAAAAGUCACAAAACGUAAUGAAAAACUACAUAUUUCCUUACAUUUCAAAAUGUCACGUUGACUAAUGAAAAUGUAACUAUAGGUUUGUUUAUAUAGUAAACCGCCAUGGAAAUUAGGGUGAAACAUCAUAAAAAGUUUCCAUUUUGUGACUUUUCGUUACGUCCCUAAGGGUCACAAAAAAUUGAGAGAAACUAACAUAAUUUUGUCUAUUUGUGACAUUUAAAAUAUGUCACCAAAAUUUUCAAACAAAAAGUUUUUUUUUUCUUGUCAAAGGUAAUUAUAGUGACAAAAGUGUCUUGAAAACUGUUACUUUCCGUGACACUUAUAUUUUAUAAUGUAAAUAAAACAAUGAAAUGAGCACAAAUACAUGAAGUCCACCUUACAAAAAUUAAAAUCAAGUACUAAGGUUCAAAUACUAAAACAUAAAUCCAAAAUAAAAAUGGAAAUUUUAGUUGAAAUUAAGAUAAAAUCAUGCAUAUGAUCAUGAAGAUUGAAGGGUAAAAUCAUGAAAACUAUUGACCAGAUUGCAAUCUAGAGUCGCGUCAGUAACUCAAAACAUUAGAUUGAUGAGAAGAGUGAUCAUCAACGUGUUGUGAUGGUAGAAGGGUAAUUGUUCUUGAUGGCAUUUGUGUAGUCAACUCCGUAACCUUGGCUUGGAGAUCACAAAACUUUCACCCACAAAAUUGGUGGAGGGGGAAGUCUCAUUUGUGUAAUCAACUCCUAAAAUCAAUUUUUAUUAGUAUUUAUUAUGACCAAGAUAUCCUUCAUGUCAAUUUUAUGGUUCAUGAAAACUAAUCUUUUCGGAAAAAAAAUUAUUAUUAACAAUCAUAAUUAUAGUACAAACAAAAAUACAGAUAUGAGUAAUCAUAACAUAUAAUUAAACUAAUACAGGCACAACGGAUGGAGAAUCAGAAAGAAUUGAGCAAUAUCCAUCCAUGGGCAUACACACAUGUUGGGACUAGAGAUCCACACAUUGUGAACAUGAGCGCUUAACAAUCUAAGAUCUUUGCCUUAAUCAACAAUACGAAGGUAUUAUUGGCCAUAUAUAUAUUGAUUUAACUAAUUCACAAAUAUCUUGUUCUAAGCAGGGGGUCUUAGGUUAAGUUAUAUAUUUUUAUGAGAGUUAAAAUGUCAUUUUACCUUUGUAUUGACUUAUUUCUUUACGGUUUUUGAAAGAACUAAAUAAAAAUUUAGCAUUUUUUAGGGGUCACACAAUAAUUUUACCAUAUAUUAUGAUUUUAUGAAUUUGGGGUCUAAUUUAGAGUUCUAAAGCAUAAAUUCUUUUUUUUCCUUGGGAGGGCAUAACCUGGGUGCCCUAUCCUUUCCCACUUGGUUCUAAAAUACAUAUUGAACCACCGAUUAAAUCUUAAUUCAAUUGGCAUUGUUGCUAUUGCAACAAUUAAGAGUACGUGGUUUUGAGUGAAUUUAAGUGUCUUUUUCCUCCUAUUUAAAGGUAAAAAGUACUAUGGAUAGAAAUAUGAUUUAUAUUAAAAAAAAUUACAUAGGACCAAGGUGUUUAUGUUUAAAUUGAACUGGUUUUCCCAGCCAGGUCAGAUUGGGAUAUCGUUUUCUUUUUAAUAUAAAUAGACAUAUAUCCAAUCCACAAAGAGUAUACCAACUAGUACAUUUCUCUCAAUUUCUUUGAAGAGAAGUUUCACAUUUCUUGAUUUUAUACAUAAACAUCCCAUCUCCAUCACAUUCUCAAGCCUUUUCAAUGGAGUUUUUAACGAAAAUAUGUCUCCUUUUCCUUUGUGGCCUCAUUUCUCACUUUGUUAACAUGUUUUUCCAGAAGAGAGAUGAGCAAUGCUAUAUGUUGGGUUAUGAAUGUUUCAAGGCUUCCGAUGACAGGAGGCUCGACACUGAUGCGUGCGUGAAAGUUGUGUUGAGGAACAAGAAUCUUGGUCUGGACCAAUACAGGUUUCUUUUAAAAACCAUUGUUAGUUCUGGUCUUGGUGAAGAAACUUAUGGUCCAAGGAAUGUUAUUGAUGGUAGAGAAGAGUUUCCUUCGGAAAACGAUGCACAUGCCGAGAUGGAUGAGAUCAUGUUCAGCACUCUAGACACUCUGUUCGAGAAAACAGGAGUUUCCCCGUCGGAAAUCGACAUACUCGUCGUCGAUGUCUCGUUGUUUUCACCUGCACCGUCGUUAACAUCCCGGAUUAUAAACAGGUACAAGAUGAGGGACAACAUUAAGUCCUUCAGUCUCUCCGGAAUGGGAUGUAGUGCAAGCAUGGUUGCAAUCGAUAUGGUGCAGCAGUUGUUCAAGACAUACAAGAACCAGUUCGCCAUCGUUGUGAGCACCGAAUCAAUCGCUAGGCAUUGGUACUGCGGCAAAGAGAAGUCAAUGAUGUUAUCGAAUUGCCUGUUCCGUAACGGAGGGUGUUCAAUCCUCUUAACAAACAAAAGGGACUUGAAGGAUCGAUGCUUGUUGAAGUUGAAGUGUGCCGUAAGAACCAAUAUCGGUUACGAUGACGAAGCAUACGGAUGUUGCAUACAGGUUGAAGAUCCACAAGGUUACCAAGGUUUCCUCCUUACUAAAAGCUUAACAAAAGCCGCUGCUAAAGCUUUUACAGGGAAUCUCAAGCUCCUAUUGCCCAAAAUAUUACCAGUUUGGGAACUGCUUCGAUAUGCAAUAUCAACUCUCGGGAAAAAAUCAACCAAAGGCCAAAAUUUAAGUUUCAAUUUAAAUCUCAAGUCUGGGGUUGACCAUUUUUGUCUCCAUCCAGGUGGAAGGGCAGUGAUUGAUGGGCUUGGGAAGAGUUUGGGACUUAGUGAAUAUGACUUAGAGCCAACUAGAAUGGCACUAUACAGAUUUGGGAACACAUCAGCAGGUGGUUUAUGGUAUGUUUUGAGUUACAUGGAAGCUAAGAAGAGGUUGAAGAAAGGUGAUAAGAUUUUCAUGGUGAGCCUUGGAGCUGGGUUCAUGUGCAACAACUGUGUGUGGGAGGUAAUGAAGGAUGGUUUGGAAGAUACUAGGGUUUGGGAAGGUUGCAUUGAUGAGUACCCUAGAAAAAACCUGGUCAAUCCCUUCACUGAGAAGUAUAGUUGGAUCAAUGAUGAGUGCUUGAACUUUGUCAGGCUUGACGAUCAGUUCAAUUAAGGAAAUUGCAGUUCAUGUUUUUCUUUAAGGAAUUUUAAGCAAGUUGCAAUUAUUUGUGUGGAUAU
Molecule: long non-coding RNA, 35352 nt
Filed under: Gossypium raimondii (Peruvian cotton)
Lineage: Eukaryota; Viridiplantae; Streptophyta; Magnoliopsida; Malvales; Malvaceae
Description: long non-coding RNA (GRAI_LNC009637)
Rfam family: MIR7504 microRNA precursor family (bases 7678-7795)
Source: RNAcentral